CAGGGGCUGGCCCGGUGGUGCAGCAGUUAAGUGCACAUGUUCCGCUUCAGAGGCCCGGGGUUCACCGAUUCAGAUCCUGGGUGCAGACACGGCACCGUUUGGCAAGCCAUGCUGUGGCAGGCAUCCCACAUCUUGGAUGGGCCUUCGUUUGGUGCUUUAAAGUAGAGGGAUGAAUGAAAUGGACAUUAAAGUUCCCUUCAGUUCCAGAGUUUCCUCAUCCAAUUAGCGUAUCCUUGGGGAGUCUCUCAGUGGCCUCCUUCCCACUUCCAACACUUGUGAAUGGACAGAUGACUCACCAGAAACGGGAGAUAGACAUCUUUUGAAGCCAAUUUUGAUAAAAGAGGUGUUUCCCUCUACUCCACAGCCAGCCGGGCUUGUCGGCCUUAAGCAAAACCAAAUAUAAAUAUUGAAUUUGAGUCUACCCAUGAAACAACAGGAAAGCUUUAGCCCAGCCAGCCACCACCAUCCCAUUACUCUAGAGGCACUAAAUCAGGAUUUCUCAAUCAAGGCACCAUUGACAUUCGGGACCAGAUGAUUCUUUGUUGUAUGGGGCUCCCCUGUGCAUUGUAGGAUGUUCGGUAGCACCCUGGCCCCUAUUCACUAGGUGCCAGUAGCAGCCAUCCUCACAAUAUAAUGUUCAAAAGUGUCUAUGGACGUUGCAAAUGUCCACUGGAGGCAAAUUGUCCCCAGAUAAGAACCACCGCACUAAAUGGACAGAAAUCUUCAUCCUCGAGGUAUAGAGGGUACACAAGUAUAAUCCCAUCCUAUUUAUCCUAUAUGCCAAACUUUUGGCAUGAUUUUAAACCCAGGAGUAACAGAGAUGGAUGUCCCUUCUUGGUCUAUGCAGAAGCUUAAACAAUAAAAAGACAUUUCCCAUAACUAGGAGAGGCCUUCCCAAGAAGACUAUUGGCCAUAUGUUCAAGAGCCAUCAGGUUCUCUGCGCCUUUGAUCCUAAGUAGGAGAUCUGAGUAGCAUUUGUAAUAGAGGCAUCUAUGUUUUUGUCUAACUGCCUGAUAGUGUGGGGAGUUAUCUUCUUCAGAGAGGACAUCUCAGUCUACCCAUGGCAGAAUAACUAAAAUCAUCCCCAUGAUUCUCCAUGGUGUGAUCCCUGGCUGGAUUUGAGAAGAUGUAAAGGAUAGUGUGAGGGCUCUCUAUCCCAUCCUGGUACCACCUUGCAGACGGCUCAUCUGGAGUUAGAACCUGCCUACGUCUAUCCUGCAGACUUGAUGAGGUACCUUGGAGUUCAUCAUAAAAGUCAAGGCUGGAAGGAAC
Molecule: long non-coding RNA, 1272 nt
Filed under: Equus asinus (donkey)
Lineage: Eukaryota; Metazoa; Chordata; Mammalia; Perissodactyla; Equidae
Description: lncRNA (ENSEASG00005023890.1)
Source: RNAcentral